RNAcentral lists this ribosomal RNA (492 nucleotides) under uncultured bacterium. RNAcentral's name for it is "partial 16S ribosomal RNA". It matches the Rfam family "Bacterial small subunit ribosomal RNA", at positions 29 to 507 of the family's 1533-position model. The record is from RNAcentral.
AGUGAACGCUGGCGGUAGGCCUAACACAUGCAAGUCGAACGGCAGCACAGUAAGAGCUUGCUCGUACGGGUGGCGAGUGGCGGACGGGUGAGGAAUACAUCGGAAUCUACUUUUUCGUGGGGGAUAACGUAGGGAAACUUACGCUAAUACGGCAUACGACCUACGGGUGAAAGCAGGGGAUCUUCGGACCUUGCGCGAGUGAAUGAGCCGAUGUCGGAUUAGCUAGUUGGCGGGGUAAAGGCCCACCAAGGCGACGAUCCGUAGCUGGUCUGAGAGGAUGAUCAGCCACACUGGAACUGAGACACGGUCCAGCCUCCUACGGGAGGCAGCAGUGGGGAAUAUUGGACAAUGGGCGCAAGCCUGAUCCAGCCAUACCGCGUGGGUGAAGAAGGCCUUCGGGUUGUAAAGCCCUUUUGUUGGGAAAGAAAAGCAGCAGGUUAAUACCCCGCUGUUCUGACGGUACCCAAAGAAUAAGCACCGGCUAACUUCGUG